This is a long non-coding RNA of Neopsephotus bourkii (Bourke's parrot), 3782 nucleotides long. RefSeq lists it as uncharacterized. The record is from RefSeq and is a predicted model, not a curated record. The transcript is spliced from 3 exons. NCBI's taxonomy places the organism in Eukaryota, Metazoa, Chordata, Aves, Psittaciformes, Psittacidae.
UUUUUUUAGUAUUGUGAUGCUUCUCUGGCUUUAUUUAAAUCAAUGACAAGUAAUUCUUGUAAUGAACAAUAUUAGCUAUAAUUUUUGAAGAAUCAAUUAGUAAAAUACAUACUUUUCUGUGAAUCCUUUCAGUGUAUAAUCCAACAUUUUUACUGGUUGUGCAGUGAUUGAACUAUUGCUUUUAAUACCAUUUAUUAUUUCUACAGGUAUAGUUAAAACUGUGUAAAGCUUAGACUUCAAUAAAUAGUGGAUAUUGCAUGAAUAUUUCUUGCUUGUAGGAAGCAAGACAGUAUCUUACAAUCUAACAGUGGGUGCAUUUAUGGGUAAAAUUCAGUACUGGGAAGGGGGCCAGUUCCCAGUGAUUUCAUUCUUCAGUAUAGAACAUUAAUGCAGGAUCUUGCAGUAGCCAAGGGAAGAAGCCAACUCUCCUGACCCUAAUCAUCCAAAAUGACACUAUGGCUGGAAGCCACAAGACAUUGAGAACACAGCCUGGUGAGCCAGGGAGAGGGGAAGCCAAGGAGCAGGUAGCAGCUGGCACUGGUUCCUCAAGUCGAGAGGAGGACUGGUGCGGAGGAGGCCUGGGCAGGCUGCUUGGCGGCCCUAAGGCACUGCCAGCUCCAUCAGCGGGUGCCACAUUUCCCUGCAGCCAGCCUCCUGUGUGUAUACUCUUAGCCAGGGCCCUUGCGUAUCAGCUGGUUUGGGAAUUGCAGGUUAACUUCCCUGGUUCUCAUCCCAUAAAAAGUAUUAUUUCCCCUAUGUAUUCUGUUGUAAUAUUUAUGUUACUGCAGUGUAAGUGCUUUAUUUAUUCCAUUUCCCUCAUAGUACUCUGUCUUAGGACAAGAAAGCAUCAAACCCUAUUUCAAAACUUCAUCAAAUGUAUUUCAUAUAGAAUUAGCAUGUGUUAAAACAGUAUAAUACAGUGUAGUGUGCGUUUCUAAAUAAUUAUGAUCCCCAGGAUGGUAAAGACAAUCUGAGAAGCUGGAACACAAUGAUUUCUCUUUCCAACUUACAUAUCUUCUUUUGUUCAGAAAAAGGAUGGAGUUAAAAAGGCAGGCAGUAAGGAUUUCACCUCUGUUGUUAAUCCAUGAAAUACCUUAGAGUAAUGAUUCUAAGUUUAGUGCCCCGAAAUAACUAAAUUCAGUAGAAAAAUAAAUGUUAUGUUUUAAAUGUACUUUUCUCAGCACUGUAUUCAACAUCCAGGUUAGCAGCUGAAUUGCCUUCCACAUUAGCCAACCAGUCUAUAAUUGAGUUCACUACAAGACUGAUUUCAGAACUUGACCUUGGCUACAUCUUCUUACCUUAUGUUAAGCUAUUUCUUCUCCAUGUUUUCUUAAAUUUAUUCUAGUUGGAAGCUCUUUGGUUUCUCAGUGUUUCAUAAUGGAAAGGGGCAGAACACAUAAAACCAGGAAGAAAUAAAUUGUUAUUUUCCCUGUCCAAACUGAAGAGUUUCAAAGCAUGGUCUGGGCUUGAGAAGCAGGAUACUGUGACCGCAGUAUUUUCCUGUUGGCGAGCCCUGUGGUAGAUGCUGUGUUGUUCUGGUGACAAAGCAGGAUCUUACACCACAAGUAAAUGUCAUCCAUACAAAAUGGAAUCAUUCUAAACUCAGCAUGAUAGUUAAAGCUUUUGGCUUUCAGAAAACUGGGACUUAAGCAGCAAAUCAAACAACCUGUUUUAUUUUUUACUCAGUUCUGUGACAUCUAGUCAGAAUCUUACUUUCUGUGCAGUCAUAGAAUUCUCUCAUUCCACUCACUGUUGUGCACUGAUGCUGUGAAAUGUAAGAGUUCCAGGCACACGUAAGAAAAUACCAACUUGCCAUAGAAGAUUUAUUGUUGAGGCAACGGUGAAAUUCUUUCUUUAUACUCAUUUCUGAGCCUGGAACAGCUUCCUUGUCUCCAGCAGAUGAGAACAAAAUCUGGCUCAUUUAAUCUGAUUUUGUCUCAACCAACAGAUCUUUCUCUCUAGUUCUGGUCUGCAGAGCUGAUUUUUAUUAUAACUUCUAUACAAAAAAAAAAUAAAUCUCAGCAUAGAGAGCCUCUGGUGUCUCCUCUGGAUGUUUUGUAACUCCCACUGUUCACCAGUAACUAUACUGUUUUUUUAGUUUGAUAAUGAUGCCUGGAAUACUGGAAGAUGUAACAUUCACUCAGCCAAAACGAUUUAUCUUGGUAUAACAGGAUCAGCAUCUCAGCUGGGACUUCUGGAUGCUACUCUACUACAAACAAAAUAAGAGAACAACAGUCAGCUGAAAUUAAUAGUAUAUUGGAGGCAUGCCCUUACUCUCCUCAGACAUGGAAGAACGUGUUGAGGAUAUUUAAUCAGAGCACAGUAAAUGGAGAGAAAUGGAUUUUUCCAUAAAUAUCAAACACAGUGGAGAGCAGCUAUCACUAGUAACCAGCAGUGCUUCUUAAAAUCCUGCUACAACAUUCUUAAUGGAUGGUUUUCCUUGUGGCUACUUAGGCAUGUGUACUGUGCUAGCUCCCCCUUCUUGCACUGCAAUACGUAGGAAGCUAUUAUUCCCAAAUGGAGCGUUUGCUGACAUCACAUGCGGUAGGAUCCUUUUGUUUGCCUGUGUCUCCUGCAUUGAAAUGUUUGUCUGAGUCACAAAUCCCACUGCCUUUCUUCCUCUGUGUCAUGCUUGCUUGAGAGCUUCUCCCUGACUCACAGGUUUGAAAUUUUGACACAGCCUGGGUUGCUGCAUGGCAGCUGAAUACUUUUCCUUUUAAUACUUUAUUAUGUAAUUUAUAUCUAAACACUAUAAUGAUCCAGAAAUCACUGCCACUUUUUUUUUUUUUUUUGCAGCUUUUUGAAUAGACAGGUUUCGUGACUCAGAUUCAGCACUGAAUUUUGUUUCAAAGCAAAGGCAGCUUAGUGUUACUAAAUUAUAAAUUAAAGAUAGUGACUCCCACAACUUGAGUUCUCCAUUUAGCUUGCUGGCUGAGUUUCCUCAGAUAUAACAGUAUCGAGCACUGUGCCAGAAAGGGGUCAUAUGUGUGCAUGUGUACAGACAAACACCUCUCAUAAUUGAAGUAAUUACUAUUUUGCAUUGCAGUACCUCUUUCCCUCUAAUAAUCUGAUCGAUUUGUUUUCUUUUACUAGAAAGGACAAAACCAUGCUGUAUUUUCAGUGUACAUUCAUUCCUUUAUUUGGUUUAGAUUUGGGAGCUGCUAAUCUAUUGCUGGUGUCUAAGCAGCCUGGGUUUCCUCUUUAUUAAAGCCAUGAACAAAACAGAUCCUGAUUACAGCAGCUCACUGUGAAUGCUUUGGUAAAGAAUGAACAUGGAAUUUAAGGGCUAUGCAGCAGUUUGGUUUGAACUUGAUGAUAAAAUAUUCUUACUAUGAUAGAAGCCAAAAAUUACCAUGCUGGAUUAAAUCUUUUGUCCUUCAGAUCUAGGUUUUCGUCUCUAUUGUUGCCACUAAAAGAUAAAUGAGAAGUUCAAAACAGUGCUUUGAUUGUCCUUGAUCAAGGACUUUGCGGCAGGGUUCAUUUCAGCACCUUCUGCAUUUUGAGUGACAGCUGGAGGCUGCACGUCUCGGAAGCCAUGAGACUGUGAGAUAUAAGCAAAAUCAUGUGAUAACACUUCUAUGGACAUAAACCAUGAGUAACCAGUUCCCAGAAGAUCAGAAUAAGGUGAAUACAUUCAGGACUGAAAAAGGAAAUACCUAUUCAACAGUUUGAAGAUCUCAUCUUAUGGCAGCAUUAAAAUCUGCAGGAAGUGCUAUGGCAACGUGUUUCCAUGAGGACACAUGGCAAAUAGGUAUGGCAUGUACCUAUGUAACUGACAUUUU